Papaver somniferum (opium poppy) is the source of this 435-nucleotide long non-coding RNA. RefSeq lists it as uncharacterized. Lineage: Eukaryota; Viridiplantae; Streptophyta; Magnoliopsida; Ranunculales; Papaveraceae. The record is from RefSeq and is a predicted model, not a curated record. The transcript has 2 exons.
GGUCAUUUUCCUCUAUUUUUAUAAUCUCCUUUUCUCCUGUAUAUUCUCUUGACGCAAUUAAUCUUAUGAAGACCUAAUCCCCCAAUUUUCAUCUUCGAUUACUCAUUCUCUUUGAAUAUAGAAAAGAUUGGAUUUUCGGUAUGGCUAAUUGUGAAUUUGGGUUCUGUUGCUCAAUCGUUGUUCUUUUGGUGUACCUUUCUUGAAGAAAGGUUUGGUGCUUAUUGCUGGUUGAGCAACCUAUUAUAUGAUCGUGGUUUGAUUCUAUUUUUCUUAUCAUCCAAUCGGAGUUUGAUUCUAAAUCAUGAAGUAUGAAGAAAGAUUGGGUGUACUGCGGACUUCUCCGCCGAUCAUGUUCAAAUCCAUCUCUAUAUUUUAUUUGUUUCGUCCAAAAUGGAGUGAUUGAUCACUGGGUUAAUAAUGAAUUUUUUUGAAGCA